UAGGGAAUCUUCGGCAAUGGACGAAAGUCUGACCGAGCAACGCCGCGUGAGUGAAGAAGGUUUUCGGAUCGUAAAACUCUGUUGUUAGAGAAGAACAAGGACGUUAGUAACUGAACGUCCCCUGACGGUAUCUAACCAGAAAGCCACGGCUAACUACGUGCCAGCAGCCGCGGUAAUACGUAGGUGGCAAGCGUUGUCCGGAUUUAUUGGGCGUAAAGCGAGCGCAGGCGGUGUCUUAAGUCUGAUGUGAAAGCCCCCGGCUCAACCGGGGAGGGUCAUUGGAAACUGGGACACUUGAGUGCAGAAGAGGAGAGUGGAAUUCCGUGUGUAGCGGUGAAAUGCGUAGAUAUAUGGAGGAACAACAGUGGCGAAGGCGGCUCUCUGGACUGUAACUGACGCUGAGGCUCGAAAGCGUGGGGAGCAAACAGG
RNAcentral lists this ribosomal RNA (429 nucleotides) under Gemmatimonadota bacterium. Its description in RNAcentral is "Gemmatimonadetes bacterium partial 16S ribosomal RNA". It matches the Rfam family "Bacterial small subunit ribosomal RNA", at positions 355 to 776 of the family's 1533-position model. Lineage: Bacteria; Pseudomonadati; Gemmatimonadota. The record is from RNAcentral.